UCUAGUUAUAGACUGUCUCUACAUAAAAUUGUAUGAAUUCUAUAAAACACAAAUUCUAUUUAAAAGAAAAAAAAUUUAUACGCAGCUUCAAUGAUUGUGUACAUUUAUAACAUUUAAACAUGUAUAGACAGAAAAUGAGGUGUGAUCUCCUUAAGCUUAGAGCUCUUUUACAGCUACAUUACCAAUACAAAUUCACCAAUUGAAUAUAGACAAAACUUAAGCACAAUUUAGAAUUUGUGCCAUUUUGCUGAGAGUAAGCCACUGGUAUGGAACUUAAUUAUGGAAAGAUAAAAUCUGAAGUUUUCAGAUCUUUUAGGUUCAAUUUUGCUAUUAUAUUUUGGCUUAAGUUAUUCUCAUGUAAAGAAUGCCUACAUUAAUUAGAAAUCUAAUUCAGUUAUUAUAGAAACAUGAACAAAUAUAAUAUCUGAAACGAAUUUUAAAAAUCAGAUUAGUAUACAUUUGAAAUACACAUUUUUUAAUACUGUUAGUAUACUUAUUUUAUGCAAUUCAUAACCAUUAUUCAUAAGACACCCAGAUUUAUGGCAUAUUAUAAGUUUUAAGUGAAACCACUUUGUGCCAGCAGAAGUGUAAGUACAAAUUUGGGCACUGAACUCUCAUGGUAGAAAUGAUCUAGAAUAUACUUAGACUAAUUUUUAAAAAUUAUCAAAAUGAAAGUAAAAGUUAGAAAUCAUGGGACAUAUGCUUGAAACCCAUAUACAUGUAUCUGUCAGCCUUGAAAGGUCUCUUGAGAAACAGUGAUAGAGCAGAGUUUCUCAUCCUCAGCCCUGUUAGCAUGUUGGCUGGAUAAUUCUCAGGGCUCUUCUGUGUAUUGCCAUGUGUAGCAGCAUCUCUGACUUCUACCCAUUAGAUGGCAGUAGUGCUCUCAGUUGUGACAACUAAAUAUGUCUCCAACAUUGUCAAAUGUCACUGGAGGGACAAAAAUCACUCCUUGGUUGAAAACCACUGAUUCAGAGCAGCUACAGUUGUAUCUAUUAGUGUUUUCUUGAAAAUUUGAAGUGCAAAACUAUAAAUCCUUAUUUUCAGUCUGAAAUUCAGAAAGCUCUUAAAACUAGAACAUUUCUCAUUAGUUUUGUAAUAAGCUCAUUGGGUAACAAAACCUGGUCUAACAAAAAAUACUUAAACUCUCGUUUCACUUAAUGUCAGUGUUCAUAUAUAUUGCUACAGAAACAUUCAUGUGUAAUUAUAGAAUUCUGCUUCAGAACCUUCCUGAGGAGGGGUGUUAAAUAAUAGAUUUCCAAAAUCUGAAUUCCAAGACACAUUGUAAAAUAAGAGUUUUGAUAAGAGAUUAUUACCCUGCAUUUGAGAAGCAAGUUGACUACAGACAUUGCUGUGGUGACUUUAAUUUUUCUUGAUUUUUUUACCUUUUGUUAUUUUUAUUAUUGUCAGAUUAUCUUUUCACAUAUUUUCAUGAUAAAUAGAAAAUGUGCUAGGAGAUAUGUUUUCAGCCCAAAACAAUAUAAUGCACUUAAUGCCAGUUUAGUUUUUAUUGUGU
This 1513-nucleotide long non-coding RNA is filed under the name Marmota monax (woodchuck). The record is from RNAcentral. Lineage: Eukaryota; Metazoa; Chordata; Mammalia; Rodentia; Sciuridae.